GUGUUGUAUGACAGGAGAGAAGGUUAGCACUCCCCUUGACAAGGAUGGAAAAAGCCCUAGUCUACUGGCCUUCAACAUGGCAUCUUGAAUGUGGUCCAUUCUGGCUUAGUUGGUAGAGCACAGUAUUUG
Oncorhynchus nerka (sockeye salmon) is the source of this 129-nucleotide small nuclear RNA. The record is from RefSeq and is a predicted model, not a curated record. NCBI's taxonomy places the organism in Eukaryota, Metazoa, Chordata, Actinopteri, Salmoniformes, Salmonidae.